This is an RNA transcript of Juglans microcarpa x Juglans regia, 2746 nucleotides long. It is a transcript of the gene named exopolyphosphatase PRUNE1-like, with no coding region annotated. The record is from RefSeq and is a predicted model, not a curated record. Lineage: Eukaryota; Viridiplantae; Streptophyta; Magnoliopsida; Fagales; Juglandaceae. The transcript is spliced from 11 exons.
UAUAAUUUGUUUCUACUCGGGAGGCUUGCAUUGCUCUGCUCGUCGUUGGUCAUAUGUGAACUUCGAAGAGUCCGCUUGUACGAAUGGCGGAGUCCCCAAUGAUUCCCGUGCUGUCGUUCUUUCCACCUGGUUUUAUCUUCGACUCCGACGUCCGAGCAUGCCCUCAAAAUCGCCAGAGUCUCUCGGUUUUUCCACCUCUUCAUUCUCGUCUUCAACAUGAGGCCUUCCAGAGCAGUUGCGCAAGGCCACCAGGAACCAUAUGUUCGGACCCGAGAGAACCCAUAUUUCAAUGGUCUGUUAAAAGGAGAUGAUCUGGCUACCUUUGACUCUCAAGGGAGUAUCAGCAGCCGAAACAUUUCUCGGUCCCCAUCAGAUAUUGGUGACUUCAGACAUGGACUCAUUUCAAAUAUGUCUGGAAAGGUCAUGGACUCACCAUACGAAGAUUCAAUCUCAGAUAUUAUUCUUGGACCCCUUGACUUUGACUUUCAAGUAAGUUCUGACAGCCAGAGCUUUUCUCAGCCCAUAUCCGAUAUUGGUGACACAAGAAACAAAAGGAAUGUUUCAAGAAUAUCUGAGAAGGUCAUGGAUUCACCUCUAGAAAAUUCAGUCUCAGGUAUUAUUCUUGAAAAGUUUGAUCAGCCUUCAUCUGAGAGGUGGUCAAGGUCAAAUAAUUUCAAAACAACUUCAUUUGUACCCCCAAGUGUUCAACCAGAGUUAAACUUUGACCUGGCUGUACAAAAUGAUUCAAUGCUUGAUGCUAGUCCUACAACCUUUGAAGGAAAUGAUGAGUACCAUGCUUUAAAUUAUCUGGAAAGGCCAGUAUUUGAAAAAUCAUACCGCAUGGAAAAAAGGAAGCCAGACCUCUCAAGGAUUCCGCUUCCUCAGUCUGCUGCUAUGUUUUAUAAUGGGUCCUCACCAGAAAUGGAAAUUGUUGAAUCAUGUGAAAGUGUCAAUUUGUUAAAUAUAUAUUUGAAAGCCAGAAGGGAUGAUGUCAAUGCUGGUGUGCCAGGAAAAUUCUUACAUGCAGUAAUGGGGCAAGAUCUAUCUGAUGUUGGACUAAUUGCUUCAACAAUCAUGUAUGCCUUCUACUUGAAUGAAACAUGCAAGAGCGACCAGUUGUGCACUGUGCCUGUCAUCAACAUGAAGAGGGCAGACCUGGGUUCUCACGCUGAAAUUAAAUGGUUGAUUGAAUCAUGCCAAAUUGAUCAGUCAUCCUUAUUUUUUAUAGAUGAGAUUGACCUGUCAUAUUAUGACCUUUUUGGGAGUCUUAAGCUAGUUCUAGUAAACAGCCACACGCUUUCAAUUAAACAAGAGGCAUUAAAGGAGGCGGUAGUUGAAACCUUCAGUUGCAGAAAGGGUGAAUCUACAUAUCCUUGGGUUGAGACUGUUACUGUGGGACAGGAUUGCUCAUGCUGCACGCUUAUAUCUGAGAAGUUUGCACUGACUUCACCUGAGAUUUUGACCGGACAAGGAUUCAGUAGACUUUUGCUAGCUGGCAUCCUCACAGAUACUGGAAAUCUUACCCAUCCUCACUGUACCUCAAAAGACAAGUACAUGGUUACACUAUUACUCCAUGGUGCUGGUCACUUUGGAUGCAAAGGCCUCUACUACAUAUUGAAAUACAAAAUGUAUGAUGUGUCUGAUCUCAGAAUAGUUGACAUCUUGCGCAAGGAUUUCAAAAAGUGGAAAAGAGAAAGCCAGAAGCUGCUGGGUCAAGACUGAUGGUGUCACACAUCGGGAUGAGUUCUAUUGCAAUUUCAAUUGCCGAACUUCUUACUCGUGAAGAUUACUCAUUUCAAGAAAUCAGAAGUUUCCAGCGUCAGUAGUUGAUUAGAUAUAAAAAUUCAAAUUUAGAUAUAUACCAUCAGCACACAAAGAAAUCAAACAAAUUGUGACGGUAUCACGAUUUUUUUUCAGUUUUUCUCCAUGGUGGCUUUGAACUGGGAAAGUAUUUCUUUGUUGCAUUAAACUAACUUUAAGUACGUCCCUACCAAGUCCUAAGCAUCUUAGUCACUGUUCAGAGUUUCCUAUAUAGGUUCAAGUAGAUUGUCCAAAUAUAUUUCAUCGUCUGUGGUGCUCAUCAACCUACAUUCUAAACUGAAAAAAAGUAUGAUCCUCAAUAAACCAAAAAAAGAACUGCACAUACAAUUUUUUUUUUUUAUAAUUGCACAGAAAAUCUAGCUGGCUGUCAGCUUUUAAAAAGUUUUAAAAGAAAAAGAAUACACAGACCGAGUCACGAUGGCAACAAUGGUCUCUCUGGGGAUGCAAAGCUGUGGUGGCAGACACAGGAUGAGGAUCUGCUGGAGAGCCUUUGAAAGGCUCUCUGCUCCUAUGCUUUCUGCUUGCACAUCUCCUUUCAGUAUACUGUGUACAUAAUCUCUGACAUAAUGGUAGUCAUGAUCUGCUAGCCCUCAAUUGAUCUAGAAAUUAAUUCUAAUUACAAAUAUAAUCAUGUUUCACUGAGGCUAAAAUUUCUCUUUUGUUUUCUUUUUCUUUUCGGUUAUAUCAUUUGCAUCAGUAUUUCUGGCUGAAUGAAUUUUUGGAGUUUAGUUUUGGAAAUGACAUUUACAAUUGUCCUUGUUUCCUCUAAAUUUUAGAGUUGGAGAAACUUCGGCUACUGACGAUUGUUUCUGGGUAUUAUGAUUCACAGAAGAAAUUCAAGAGAGAGAUCCUGGUGUCUGCUGAAUCUAUGGAGAUUAUGAGGAACCUAAUUCUUUUCUUCGACUCAAUUGCCUCCCAACUGCCA